RNAcentral lists this ribosomal RNA (560 nucleotides) under uncultured Glomus. RNAcentral describes it as "SSU rRNA". It matches the Rfam family "Eukaryotic small subunit ribosomal RNA", at positions 546 to 1106 of the family's 1831-position model. The record is from RNAcentral. Lineage: Eukaryota; Fungi; Glomeromycota; Glomeromycetes; Glomerales; Glomeraceae.
AAUUGGAGGGCAAGUCUGGUGCCAGCAGCCGCGGUAAUUCCAGCUCCAAUAGCGUAUAUUAAAGUUGUUGCAGUUAAAAAGCUCGUAGUUGAAUUUCGGGAUCAAUAUUUCGGUCAUGCCGAUGGUAUGCACUGUUAUAAUUGAUUUCUCACCUUCUAAAGAACCGUAAUGCCAUUAAUUUGGUGUUACGGGGAAUUAGGACUGUUACCUUGAAAAAAUUAGAGUGUUUAAAGCAGGCUCACGCUUGAAUACAUUAGCAUGGAAUAAUGAAAUAGGACAUCCGAUUCUAUUUUGUUGGUUUCUAGGAUCGAUGUAAUGAUUAAUAGGGAUAGUUGGGGGCAUUAGUAUUCAAUUGUCAGAGGUGAAAUUCUUGGAUUUAUUGAAGACUAACUACUGCGAAAGCAUUUGCCAAGGAUGUUUUCAUUAAUCAAGAACGAAAGUUAGGGGAUCGAAGACGAUCAGAUACCGUCGUAGUCUUAACCAUAAACUAUGCCGACUAGGGAUCGGAUGAUGUUAAUUUUUUAAUGACUCAUUCGGCGCCUUACGGGAAACCAAAGUGU